RNAcentral lists this unclassified non-coding RNA (17 nucleotides) under Thermus thermophilus. RNAcentral's name for it is "ANTICODON STEM-LOOP OF SER TRANSFER RNA from Thermus thermophilus (PDB 1N33, chain Y)". Lineage: Bacteria; Thermotogati; Deinococcota; Deinococci; Thermales; Thermaceae. The record is from RNAcentral.
CACGCCUGGAAAGUGUG